GAUGAACGCUGGCGGCGUGCUUAACACAUGCAAGUCGAACGGAAAGGCCCAAGCUUGCUUGGGUACUCGAGUGGCGAACGGGUGAGUAACACGUGGGUGAUCUGCCCUGCACUUCGGGAUAAGCCUGGGAAACUGGGUCUAAUACCGGAUAGGACCACUUCUUGGAUGUUGUGAUGGAAAGUUUUUUCGGUGUGGGAUGAGCUCGCGGCCUAUCAGCUUGUUGGUGGGGUAAUGGCCUACCAAGGCGUCGACGGGUAGCCGGCCUGAGAGGGUGUACGGCCACAUUGGGACUGAGAUACGGCCCAGACUCCUACGGGAGGCAGCAGUGGGGAAUAUUGCACAAUGGGCGCAAGCCUGAUGCAGCGACGCCGCGUGGGGGAUGACGGCCUUCGGGUUGUAAACUCCUUUCGCUAGGGACGAAGCGUUUUGUGACGGUACCUGGAGAAGAAGCACCGGCUAACUACGUG
Molecule: ribosomal RNA, 467 nt
Filed under: uncultured bacterium
Lineage: Bacteria
Description: partial 16S ribosomal RNA
Rfam family: Bacterial small subunit ribosomal RNA
Source: RNAcentral